Molecule: ribosomal RNA, 595 nt
Filed under: uncultured bacterium
Lineage: Bacteria
Description: bacterial SSU rRNA
Rfam family: Bacterial small subunit ribosomal RNA
Source: RNAcentral
CCUACGGGAGGCAGCAGUGGGGAAUCUUGUGCAAUGGACGAAAGUCUGACACAGCCACGCCGCGUGCGGGAAGAAGGCCUUCGGGUUGUAAACCGCUUUCAGCAGGAACGAAAAUGACGGUACCUGCAGAAGAAGAUGCGGCCAACUACGUGCCAGCAGCCGCGGUGAUACGUAGGCAUCAAGCGUUGUCCGGAUUUAUUGGGCGUAAAGAGCUCGUAGGCGGUUCAGCAAGUCGGGUGUGAAAACUCUGGGCUUAACCCAGAGCCUGCACUCGAAACUGCUGUGACUAGAGUUCGGUAGGGGAGCAGGGAAUUCCUAGUGUAGCGGUGAAAUGCGCAGAUAUUAGGAGGAACACCAAUGGCGAAGGCACUGCUCUGGGCCGAUACUGACGCUGAGGAGCGAGAGCGUGGGUAGCAAACAGGAUUAGAUACCCUGGUAGUCCACGCCGUAAACGAUGGGCACUAGGUGUGGGUCUCUAACCAACGAGAUCUGCGCCGUCGCUAACGCAUUAAGUGCCCCGCCUGGGGAGUACGGUCGCAAGCUAAACNCAAGGAAUUGACGGCUGGAGAGNGCGAGACGACGACGAGGGAGGAGG